AUUGAACGCUGGCGGCAUGCCUUACACAUGCAAGUCGAACGGCAGCACGGGUGCUUGCACCUGGUGGCGAGUGGCGAACGGGUGAGUAAUACAUCGGAACGUACCUUAUCGUGGGGGAUAACGCAGCGAAAGCUGUGCUAAUACCGCAUACGCCCUGAGGGGGAAAGCGGGGGAUCGCAAGACCUCGCGCGAUUAGAGCGGCCGAUGCCUGAUUAGCUUGUUGGUGGGGUAAAAGCCCACCAAGGCGACGAGCAGUAGCUGGUCUGAGAGGACGGACAGCCCAACUGGGACUGAGACACGGCCCAGCCUCCUACGGGAGGCAGCAGUGGGGAAUUUUGGACAAUGGGGGCAACCCUGAUCCAGCAAUGCCGCGUGAGUGAAGAAGGCCUUCGGGUUGUAAAGCUCUUUUGUCAGGGAAGAAACACCGGCUCUAACACAGUCCGGGAAUGACGGUACCUGAAGAAUAAGCACCGGCUAACUACGUGCCAGCCGCCGCUGUAA
RNAcentral lists this ribosomal RNA (501 nucleotides) under uncultured bacterium. RNAcentral's name for it is "partial 16S ribosomal RNA". It matches the Rfam family "Bacterial small subunit ribosomal RNA", at positions 29 to 523 of the family's 1533-position model. The record is from RNAcentral.